GCCGGAGUGGCGAAAUUGGUAUACGCACUAGAUUCAAAAUCUAGCGAGCUUUACGCUCAUGGGAGUUCGAGUCUCCCCUCCGGCA
RNAcentral lists this transfer RNA (85 nucleotides) under Acidobacteriota bacterium. RNAcentral describes it as "tRNA-Leu". It matches the Rfam family "tRNA". From Rfam's summary of the family: Transfer RNA (tRNA) molecules are approximately 80 nucleotides in length. Lineage: Bacteria; Pseudomonadati; Acidobacteriota. RNAcentral also lists the same sequence under 1 other name. The record is from RNAcentral.